CAUGAUUUUGGUUUACUUUUAUUAGAGAGCUAUUCAACAAAAGGAACUGGUGAAGAAAGAAAUUACAUUGCAUGAAAAGCUUAACCAUCCUUCCAUUGUCAAGCUGAAAGAUUCGUUUGAAGAUAAGAACAAUUAUUAUAUUGUUUUAGAAUAUUGUGACUCAGGAACACUGGACAAAUACCUAAAAAAAAACAAUAAUAUCCUGUGUGAAAAUGAAGUUUAUGAAAUUAUGAAGCAAGUAGUUGAUGGGCUAAAGUAUUUGCAUAGCAGGAAAAUUAUACAUCGAGAUCUUUCUCUUAAAAAUAUAUUGCUAACAAAAGACUAUAAAACUAAAGAGCUGAAAGUGG
This is a non-coding RNA of Parasteatoda tepidariorum (common house spider), 347 nucleotides long. The record is from RefSeq and is a predicted model, not a curated record. NCBI's taxonomy places the organism in Eukaryota, Metazoa, Arthropoda, Arachnida, Araneae, Theridiidae.